AUGAAAAGCUCCCUUAUAUGCUUCAUUUGCCUUUCCUUCCACCACUUUUUUACCUGCAAAUCACAGCAACAACUCCAUGUCAUAUAUAUUUCCUGCUAUAGAUCUUCUACUUCUGGCCUAGGGGGUAAUUUUCAUGUCACCGAACAGGCUGCUUCUUGCAAGAACCUGCCUCACCAUGUCAUGAUGAAGAUUGAUAUCCAGAUCCUCAAAAAGUUCAUACGUGCUCUUCUAAGAGAGCAUUAUCAAAGCCUCAAAAUAUGACCUUGAUGAGCUUCAGUUUCUAUUUGUAUCACCCCACAAGCACCUGAAGACUGUCACUUAUUUGACCACAGUUUCAACAUUGUGCUUGUGCCUGACCAUAUUGAUCCCACCUUCCUGGAGACACUGUUAAAUUCCUCCCUUGUAGCUGUCAUUUGCCUUUCUUUCUGGCUCUAGCUAAAGUGCAGCAUACCGUCUGUUUUAUCCCCAGGUUGUUCACUUACUUAUGUAAUAGUGCAGUGAUUAGCACCAGUACACAGGCAGUGGGAGAGCAGUGCAUUAUUUCCUCCUUUACCUAAUACUGUAUGCCUUUCUGAAAACCUUUUAGAGAGCAAAUGGAGUGGUUUCUGAUGGUGCACAAUAAGACUAUUUUGCCAAGAACUGCAUUCUUAAUGAAUAGCAAAGGAUCAGGUUACAAUAUUUUUUACUAAAAACUUCCUACUUUUCAAUUGCUCAAAAUGAAACUCCAGCUACUAAUGGUCUUCCUUAACUGGUGUGAGUAGCAGCACUGACACUUUUUUGUACUGAAAGCAGCACAGAUUGUGAUGCAGGUGAACAAACAUCUAAUCCUUGCUCAUCUGGUCAGUAAGCAUAGUUAAUCAGCAUCUGACUAUUGUGUCUUUGAAAAUAUAUCUGCUGAAGAGUAACAAUGCUGAAAGACAUUUUUCCUUUUCAUGUUUAGACUAUAAACCAUGUUCAGCAUCAGCUCAGUGGAAAUGUUUGCUGCUACACUUGGCCUUAGAAAAUGGUUCAACUCAACUCAGGAAUAAAAGCUGGCUAAUUUGUGAUUAAUCA
This 1053-nucleotide long non-coding RNA is filed under the name Anas platyrhynchos platyrhynchos (common mallard). RNAcentral's name for it is "lncRNA (ENSAPLG00000030447.1)". Lineage: Eukaryota; Metazoa; Chordata; Aves; Anseriformes; Anatidae. The record is from RNAcentral.